Molecule: unclassified non-coding RNA, 1801 nt
Filed under: Hevea brasiliensis (rubber tree)
Lineage: Eukaryota; Viridiplantae; Streptophyta; Magnoliopsida; Malpighiales; Euphorbiaceae
Source: RNAcentral
GGGAAUCUUACUGUGAGUGUCCCAGAGGAACUGAAGAAACUUGAUGCCAAAGCCACUGAAAUCUCUGGUUGAGUUAUUUCUUUAUUAUAAAUGGCAUGGGUGUAUGUCAACAGAUGAAGAAGAGUGUUUCUGUAUACGUUGGGUUUUGUGAGCAGUGUUUGAUGUAAUUUGUCCAAAAAUAAAAAUAUAUAUUAUAAUCUCCAGUAUUUUCUCUUUUAGAAAUAUUAGUAUUUUUUAUAAAAGAGAGACACAGAGGGGAGAAAAAGAAUAAAGUAACGUAGCAUGAUAGAUAUGAAAUGAUAUUCAAGGUAAAAUCAUCGGAUGCAGUAUGAAAGUGAUGCAGCAUAAAACUCCACAAGCCAAUCCAAACUCUAUGUGCCAAAGGUAAUAAUGUUAGCAUCUAUGCCGGCCCAAAUCUAAAAUUCCUUAAUAGUAAGAAGCCCCAGCAAACUACUUCCCCAUAAUUGCAGCACUUGGAUUUCUCUGGAUUAUAGACUGGGAGAGCAAGAUGGAAAAGAAGGGAGAACAAAGGCACGGGCGAUUGGUGGUGCUUGUUCCUUGCCCAUUCCAAGGCCACAUAAGUCCUAUGUUCGAGUUAGGCACCAUUCUUUACUGCAGGGGCUUCUCCAUUACAAUUGCUCACACAAAAUUCAACUUUCCUAACCCUGCCAACUAUCCGAAUUUCAGUUUCUUACCCAUAGCAGACCAUUUACCUGAGCAUGAUGUUGCAUCUCUCGAUAUUGUAUCUCUGAUAUCAUAUCUUAAUGGUAAUUGCGAAGCACCAUUGCUGGAAUCAUUGUCUCAAAUCAUGGAAAAGCCACACACAAAGAUCACUUGUAUCAUCUAUGAUACACUUAUGCACUACUCAGAAGCAGUGGCCAAUCGUCUGAAGCUACCUAGCAUAAUCUUAAGAACUAGCAGUGUUGCCACUUUGAUCGCUUACAGCAAAUUCACUCAGCUACAACAGGAAGGUUACUUUCCUUUAAAAGGUAUGAUUGGCUCUUAAAUCCUUCUGCAUGAGCCACCAAGACUUCACAACUAUCUUGAUUCUAUGAAUUAGUUUUCAAUAUUUUGCCAAUUUUCUGAUGUAACAUAACAUACUCCAUCUCAUCAUUUCAAGAAAUGCUUUAAAUCAGAAUUACCUUGCUACAGCAUCUACUACUUAAUGAUCAGCCAGCAAAUGCCAAUGAGGAAAACUCACUUUAUGUUUGCAGAGCAUCUAUUGCAGGAAAUGGUGCCUGUGCUUUAUCCCCUCAGGUUUAAGGACCUACCCACCAUCGAUUUUGCAAGUUUAGAAUCCUUGAUGGAAUUAACAAAUAUGAUUAUUGCCAAAAGGUCCUCAGCCAUCAUCUGGAAUAGCAUGGACUGCCUUGAAGAAUCAGAAUUGGCGCAGCACCAGCAACAAUACCAAGUUCCAUUCUUCUCUAUAGGCCCCCUGUACAAAUUUGCAACAGCCUCCUCCAGCAGCAUAAUUGCCGAGGACACCUGCUGCAUCACAUGGCUGGAUAGGAAAACUCCUAAUUCAGUAAUCUAUGUGAGCUUAGGAAGCUUGGCUUCUAUGACUGAGAAAGAGUUGGCUGAAAUGGCUUGGGGCUUAGCCAACAGUAAGCAGCCUUUCUUGUGGGUUAUAAGACCCAAUUCAGUGUGUGGUUCUGAAUGGAUUGAAUUGUUACCCAAGGAUUUCAAAGAAGCUGUUGGAGAAAGAGGCUGCAUUGUGAAAUGGGCACCGCAAAAGGAAGUAUUGGCACAUCCAGCAGUUGGAGGGUUUUGGAGUCACUGUGGUUGGAAUUCUACGCUUGAA